AGUGCGUGUGUGUCUGUGCGUCUGUGGUUAUCAUCCUCUAGGCACGGCACCAGGAGGCAAGUGUACACCCCCUUCAGUCAACCUACAGCGGUGUAGUUCUCCCCUCUCUCUUGAUACACGAAAGUUAAGUUGCAUCUAGUCAUCACUGUGUAUGCAAAUUGUGUAAUACAUUAGCAGGUGUCAUUCUCGCUAUUGAGUGUCUCUCUCUUCUCUCCUCCCUGGAUAGGUAUGGAGUUGCCAUAGCGCGCCGGUCUUCAGGUGGUGGAUUCCCUCACUUUUCCAUUGCUGUGUGCACUUGGGGUACGAGGAGAGAGCUCAAACUCCACUGGACAGCUAAACACUGUGGAACAAAGUGCUUCAAACACCAGUGACCAUGAUCCCACCACUGAUCAUGGCGAUGAGCUUCAGAUAUUGAGGGACAUGGUGGCCACUCAGAAGGCUGAGAUAACCAAGCUGACCGUACAACUACAGACAAAGGAUGUCCAGCUCCAACAACUUAGAGACAAACUCUCAUUCACACACUACUUUGGUGUUAAAACUAGAGUCUGUGCAUGAAAGUGAUGUGGUAGGCUAUUUCCAGUAGGCUACUGAGCUGGAUUUACCUAUGAGCAGUUUAAUACCUUGUAUGAGUUCAACAUUUCAAAUAAUCCAAGUACAGUGGCACACCAGACCGUCCUUUGUGUAGUCAGCUGUUGUUGACACUGAUGACAUUUAGACAGGUAUAUGUUUACAAAAGACUCAUUCAGAUUCCAUAUCAGUUUACAGAAUGUGAGCACAAUUUGUAAUCAGUCAACAUCAGUC
This is a long non-coding RNA of Engraulis encrasicolus (European anchovy), 801 nucleotides long. RefSeq lists it as uncharacterized. The transcript is spliced from 3 exons. Lineage: Eukaryota; Metazoa; Chordata; Actinopteri; Clupeiformes; Engraulidae. The record is from RefSeq and is a predicted model, not a curated record.